UUCCAAGGGAACCAGGCCUCAGCAUCAGGCCUGUUCUGCCCUGGCCUCAGAUUGCACCGCUACACCAGCAUGAUUCUACCCGAUCCUAUUAGUCACAAGGGAGCCACAGGCCAGCCUGGGUUCCCAGGGAUGGAGAGACUCCGCUUCUGCAUGGGGGAAUGACGCGGUCAUACUGCAGAAGAACACGAGUGUAGGAGGCAGUGUCGUGGCCAUUUUCGGUAAACACAACCUGCUGCUCACCCGCCUUGCCCAAGUCUACCUCUUCCAGAAACUUCUGUGUCCCAAUUAGGGUUCACCUUGAGGUCCUAAAGUGCGUUUCUCUUCUACAACUCUCUUUUUGGGGAUGUCGCCAAUAAUCUAUAUUUCAACAAGAUGGAUAAAGCUGUGAAAAGGAUCAGAUUCUGCCCAGGACUUCAAGUAUGUGACCUCAGCAGAACUGACCAAUACAUUACUGGAGCAGAAUAAUCAGUCUUGAAAUAAACCCAUGGAUAAAGGAUGGA
This 500-nucleotide long non-coding RNA is filed under the name Pongo abelii (Sumatran orangutan). RNAcentral describes it as "lincRNA". The record is from RNAcentral. Lineage: Eukaryota; Metazoa; Chordata; Mammalia; Primates; Hominidae.